Long non-coding RNA from Pieris napi, 1026 nucleotides. RefSeq lists it as uncharacterized. The transcript has 3 exons. NCBI's taxonomy places the organism in Eukaryota, Metazoa, Arthropoda, Insecta, Lepidoptera, Pieridae. The record is from RefSeq and is a predicted model, not a curated record.
CAGUGUACAUUGAACGUUACCGAUAUUACAAUACGUCACUUGAGUUAUAACCAACCCAACACACAACUAACAUUGUUUAACAUGAAGAAGGGGUUGUUUACAUGAAUGAGUGCUUCAUAAUAUGUUUUAUGACAGAUGUUUCACACUUCAACUAUUACCUAUACUUUGGCCAACGAUUUUAAUCCUACAACUAAGAAAAGAAGCUAAUUCAACUAAUGCAAUCACAAUCAAAAUGGAAUCUUGGAUAUCUGCUGCCGGUGCUCAUAGUGGAUUAUCAUACUACUGCUUUUGGCUUCUCACUAUGUACCUUCAAUGAUAAAGUGGAUAUUAAUGACAGCAAGUGCGUGUAUACUUUACUUCAGCAAAAUCAUUCACGAAAUACUUAUAGGCCAAAUUUUACAUGCUACAACAACUAUCAGUUUUAAUAAUCACAGAAUAUACGACACCUAAAUAUAGAGGAGUUUUUACGACGAUUAAAAAUGCUACAUUCUUUUGCAUUGGGCAACAAAUACAUUAGGAACUUUCUUCUAUUGGAAAGUGAUUUUUAUACCGAUUUUUCUGUGCUGUGCUAUAACUAUGACGAUGGCAUUCUGGCCGGAAUCACCAUACUGGUAAGCAAGAAAAGGCUCUUUGUUGUAACUAUACUUAAUAAAAAUAAGAAAUUUUAAUGUGGUCCAUUUGUAUUAACAUUGUUUUUGUAUUUAACACUGGCUCAAACCAGAAUAUGCAUUAUGGUUUUAUCUCGUACAUCCAUUAUUGAGUGUAUUGAUUCAAUCAGAGUCUAAUAUUUGCGAUCAAUCGAGUCUGUAAUUUUGAAACAAAAUACCUCUUAUUCUAUCAAAAGCAAUGCAUUCCAAAGUGGCAAUCAGAAGCAAUAACACGAACAAAUCCCGUGGGAAAUAAUACAAUUCCAAUCUACUUUCAAUUGGCUGAAACCUCGCGAGGGGAUCUAUUAAUUUUAAGUAGUAAGAAAAAACGUAUCGAACCAGAGGAAAUAUUACAUUUUCAACGUUUUAUUUGCUAAAA